Molecule: ribosomal RNA, 483 nt
Filed under: uncultured bacterium
Lineage: Bacteria
Description: bacterial SSU rRNA
Rfam family: Bacterial small subunit ribosomal RNA
Source: RNAcentral
AUUGAACGCUGGCGGCAUGCCUUACACAUGCAAGUCGAACGGCAGCACGGGAGCAAUCCUGGUGGCGAGUGGCGAACGGGUGAGUAAUAUAUCGGAACGUGCCCAGUCGUGGGGGAUAACGUAGCGAAAGCUACGCUAAUACCGCAUACGAUCUAUGGAUGAAAGCGGGGGAUCGCAAGACCUCGCGCGAUUGGAACGGCCGAUAUCAGAUUAGGUAGUUGGUGAGGUAAAGGCUCACCAAGCCGACGAUCUGUAGCUGGUCUGAGAGGACGACCAGCCACACUGGGACUGAGACACGGCCCAGACUCCUACGGGAGGCAGCAGUGGGGAAUUUUGGACAAUGGGCGCAAGCCUGAUCCAGCAAUGCCGCGUGCAGGAUGAAGGCCUUCGGGUUGUAAACUGCUUUGUACGGAACGAAACGGUGAGCUCUAAUACAGUUUGCUAAUGACGGUACCGUAAGAAUAAGCACCGGCUAACUACGUG